This 567-nucleotide ribosomal RNA is filed under the name Vibrio sp. 7JANF1-E-2. RNAcentral describes it as "bacterial SSU rRNA". It matches the Rfam family "Bacterial small subunit ribosomal RNA", at positions 348 to 907 of the family's 1533-position model. Lineage: Bacteria; Pseudomonadati; Pseudomonadota; Gammaproteobacteria; Vibrionales; Vibrionaceae. The record is from RNAcentral.
GCAGCAGUGGGGAAUAUUGCACAAUGGGCGAAAGCCUGAUGCAGCCAUGCCGCGUGUAUGAAGAAGGCCUUCGGGUUGUAAAGUACUUUCAGUAGGGAGGAAGGUUCAUACGUUAAUAGCGUAUGGAUUUGACGUUACCUACAGAAGAAGCACCGGCUAACUCCGUGCCAGCAGCCGCGGUAAUACGGAGGGUGCGAGCGUUAAUCGGAAUUACUGGGCGUAAAGCGCAUGCAGGUGGUUCAUUAAGUCAGAUGUGAAAGCCCGGGGCUCAACCUCGGAACCGCAUUUGAAACUGGUGAACUAGAGUGCUGUAGAGGGGGGUAGAAUUUCAGGUGUAGCGGUGAAAUGCGUAGAGAUCUGAAGGAAUACCAGUGGCGAAGGCGGCCCCCUGGACAGACACUGACACUCAGAUGCGAAAGCGUGGGGAGCAAACAGGAUUAGAUACCCUGGUAGUCCACGCCGUAAACGAUGUCUACUUGGAGGUUGUUCCCUUGAGGAGUGGCUUUCGGAGCUAACGCGUUAAGUAGACCGCCUGGGGAGUACGGUCGCAAGAUUAAAACUCAAAUG